This 481-nucleotide ribosomal RNA is filed under the name uncultured bacterium. RNAcentral describes it as "partial 16S ribosomal RNA". It matches the Rfam family "Bacterial small subunit ribosomal RNA", at positions 28 to 507 of the family's 1533-position model. The record is from RNAcentral.
GAUGAACGCUGGCGGCGUGCUUAACACAUGCAAGUCGAACGAAGCACUUUAUUUGAUUUCCUUCGGGACUGAUUAUUUUGUGACUGAGUGGCGGACGGGUGAGUAACGCGUGGGUAACCUGCCUUGUACAGGGGGAUAACAGUUGGAAACGGCUGCUAAUACCGCAUAAGCGCACAGCAUCGCAUGAUGCAGUGUGAAAAACUCCGGUGGUAUAAGAUGGACCCGCGUUGGAUUGGCUAGUUGGUGAGGUUACGGCCCACCAAGGCGACGAUGCAUAGCCGACCUGAUAGGGUGACCGGCCACAUUGGGACUGAGACACGGCCCAAACUCCUACGGGAGGCAGCAGUGGGGAAUAUUGCACAAUGGGCGAAAGCCUGAUGCAGCGACGCCGCGUGAGCGAAGAAGUAUUUCGGUAUGUAAAGCUCUAUCAGCAGGGAGGAUAAUGACGUUACCUGACUAAGAAGCACCGGCUAAAUACGUG